ACUUGCACACAACUUAGAUGAUUUAAAUUUAAAAUAUGAGAAACUAAAUUUAUUUUUAUUUAUUUUUGCUAUCUUUAUUCAUUUUUAUAGAGUAAAGAUAAAAACAAAAACUUCGUAAAAAUAAUAAAAUAUAGUAAAAAACAAUAAAGAUAUUCUUAGAUUAAAAGAGUUAAGUCGUUUAAGUUGUGUGCAAGU
Molecule: ribosomal RNA, 195 nt
Filed under: Campylobacter upsaliensis
Lineage: Bacteria; Pseudomonadati; Campylobacterota; Epsilonproteobacteria; Campylobacterales; Campylobacteraceae
Description: partial 23S ribosomal RNA
Source: RNAcentral